Molecule: long non-coding RNA, 790 nt
Organism: Mesocricetus auratus (golden hamster)
Lineage: Eukaryota; Metazoa; Chordata; Mammalia; Rodentia; Cricetidae
Exons: 4
Source: RefSeq, a predicted model, not a curated record
GACAUCAUCUCUCCCUCAGUCUUCUCUUUGGAUACAAUCCAAGCGUUGGUUGUGGACUGGUAUUUCUCAAGCAUGGUGUCAACUUUGCUCUACCCUGACAAGGAUGCCAUCUCUCCCUCAGUCUUCUCUUUGGAUACAAUCCAAGCAUUGGUUGUGGACUGGUAUUUCUCAAGCAUGGCGUCAACUGCAGUAGCUGUCUUCUCAGGGAGUCUCAAUUGUCCUCAUUGUUGCCACUUUCUUCCCAGGUUAUACAGGACUCAGGAGGAUCGGCAAUAUUGAAUUCAAAUGUCCAGAUUUGGACACGUGGAAAAAGACAUCAUUGUACUAGAGCUGGGAAAAGAAGCAGAGAAAUUCUGAAGUGAGAAGUGAAAAUACUGAAGAUGCAAGUGUUGAAGAAGACUCAAGAAGAUGAUGUUACGGACAAACCUGGGUAUCUGCCCCUUGGCUGUCAUCCCAUGUACCCAGGCACAACGCCAUCCAUCACUGCUUGAUCUCAAGUUUCAGGACACAUAGCCCACUUCUGACAGGAAGCGUCAGACACUUUGAAGCUAUAUUCAUGCGUUCACGUCAGAAAUCUAUGAAUGGCUUACUAAGGAAUGAGAAUGGGGCCAGCGAGAAGAAGGCGAGGGCAUUGGAUGUGCAAGCUUGACCACCUGACCUUGAGCCCUGGCACCCAGAGGGGAGCUGACUCUCCGAGGUCAUCCUCUGACCUCCACACAUGCAUUGCGAUGUGUGUUCACUUGCGCUGUCCCCUAUAUGAUGCGCAUGCAUGAUUAUAAUACAAUUCAAA